Molecule: long non-coding RNA, 891 nt
Organism: Mirounga angustirostris (Northern elephant seal)
Lineage: Eukaryota; Metazoa; Chordata; Mammalia; Carnivora; Phocidae
Exons: 5
Source: RefSeq, a predicted model, not a curated record
AUGAGAGAGAGCACAUGAGAGUGGGGAGGGCCAGAGGGAGAAGUAGACUCCCCGCCGAGCAGGGAGCCCGACGCGGGACUCGAUCCAGGGACUCCAGGAUCAUGACCUGAGCCGAAGGCGGUCGCUUAACCAACUGAGCCACCCAGGCGCCCACAACAGCAGUUCUUAACCUGGGGCAGUUUUGUCCCCAAGGGACAUUUGUGGGGACCAGAUUGUGGACCAGUUCUGGGCCAUGUGUGAUCUCUGCUUUCCCUCUUUCCAUCCCUUUCUUGUUUGGAGUGGAUAACCUGGAAAGCAAGAUAUUAAAAACUGUGGGUAUGAUCUGUUUGCAUGAAACUGAGAGACACGCCAUUGCAUCUGUGGAGUGCUAGUACUUCCAAGCUGCCUCAAGUCUGUUUGAAUGAAGGGAAAGGGGUGAGAAAGACUUCUAAAGCCCAAGUUGGCAACUAUUUUAAGAAGAGGUCAAACAAGGAGGCUGAAGCUGCAAAAGAUUGUUGCUGUUUUGCUUAAAGCUACUAGUUAUCAGCUAAAUGUUCCUAUGAAGCUCACCUUCUCAGAUGCCUGUGAGGCCCCUUGCAUCCUUGCAAUAAUCCCAUUCAGUUUGGUCUGGCUUCAGGGCAUCUCUACUCUUUGCAGAGAAAGUGCAAUGGCCAAGCAGAAAACAGGCAGUUGCCAACUUGUGCGAAGUGCUGGGAUGGGACGAUUUAUGUUGUCUGCUGAGAACUGAAGAUAAGAAAUAAGCCAAGUUAUUGGCAACAUUUCCCAUGGGUUCCACUUGAGCGAGAACGAAUCAUUCAUUGGAUGUUCAUGGCAACCACCACCACCAACCUUGCUGCUUUUAGAAAUGGAAAAAAAAAGUUUGUUAUACUGCCGCUGCAGGAAAUAAUAAAG